RNAcentral lists this ribosomal RNA (254 nucleotides) under uncultured bacterium. RNAcentral's name for it is "partial 16S ribosomal RNA". It matches the Rfam family "Bacterial small subunit ribosomal RNA", at positions 524 to 776 of the family's 1533-position model. The record is from RNAcentral.
UCCGGAGGGUGCAAGCAUUAAUCGGAUUUAUUGGGCGUAAAGGGCGCGUAGGCGGUAUGAAAAGUCAGAUGUGAAAUCCUUGGGGCUCAACCUCAGAACAGCAUUUGAAACUUUCAUUCUAGAGGCUAGGAGGAGAAAACGGAAUUCCACAAGUAGCGGUGAAAUGCGUAGAUAUGUGGAAGAACACCGGUGGCGAAGGCGGUUUUCUAUCUUAGACCUGACGCUGAGGCGCGAAAGCAAGGGGAUAAAACAGG